CCUACGGGAGGCUGCAGUAGGGAAUAUUGCGCAAUGGGCGAAAGCCUGACGCAGCGAUGCCGCGUGAGUGACGAAGGUCUUAGGAUUGUAAAGCUCUUUUCUGAGGGAAGAAUAGGUCUGGUAGGAAAUGACUGGAUUCUGACGGUACCUCAGGAAUAAGGAACGGCUAACUCCGUGCCAGCAGCCGCGGUAAUACGGAGGUUCCAAGCGUUGUUCGGAAUUACUGGGCGUAAAGGGAGCGCAGGCGGACAGGUCAGUUUAAAGUGGAAUCCCAG
RNAcentral lists this ribosomal RNA (275 nucleotides) under uncultured bacterium. RNAcentral's name for it is "partial 16S ribosomal RNA". It matches the Rfam family "Bacterial small subunit ribosomal RNA", at positions 338 to 605 of the family's 1533-position model. The record is from RNAcentral.